GACGAACGCUGGCGGCGUGCCUAAUACAUGCAAGUUGAGCGCUGAAGGUUGGUUCUUGUACCGACUGGAUGAGCAGCGAACGGGUGAGUAACGCGUGGGGAAUCUGCCUUUGAGCGGGGGACAACAUUUGGAAACGAAUGCUAAUACCGCAUAAAAACUUUAAACACAAGUUUUAAGUUUGAAAGAUGCAAUUGCAUCACUCAAAGAUGAUCCCGCGUUGUAUUAGCUAGUUGGUGAGGUAAAGGCUCACCAAGGCGAUGAUACAUAGCCGACCUGAGAGGGUGAGCGGCCACAUUGGGACUGAGACACGGCCCAAACUCCUACGGGAGGCAGCAGUAGGGAUUCUUCGGCAAUGGACGAAAGUCUGACCGAGCAACGCCGCGUGAGUGAAGAAGGUUUUCGGAUCGUAAAACUCUGUUGGUAGAGAAGAACGUUGGUGAGAGUGGAAAGCUCAUCAAGUGACGGUAACUACCCAGAAAGGGACGGCUAACUACGUG
This 497-nucleotide ribosomal RNA is filed under the name uncultured bacterium. RNAcentral describes it as "partial 16S ribosomal RNA". It matches the Rfam family "Bacterial small subunit ribosomal RNA", at positions 28 to 507 of the family's 1533-position model. The record is from RNAcentral.